GGUUAAGCGACUAAGCGUACACGGUGGAUGCCCUGGCAGUCAGAGGCGAUGAAGGACGUGCUAAUCUGCGAAAAGCGUCGGUAAGGUGAUAUGAACCGUUACAGCCGGCGAUGUCCGAAUGGGGAAACCCAGUGCAAUUCGUUGCACUAUCGUUAACUGAAUACAUAGGUUAACGAGGCGAACCGGGGGAACUGAAACAUCUAAGUACCCCGAGGAAAAGAAAUCAACCGAG
Molecule: ribosomal RNA, 232 nt
Filed under: Klebsiella pneumoniae
Lineage: Bacteria; Pseudomonadati; Pseudomonadota; Gammaproteobacteria; Enterobacterales; Enterobacteriaceae
Description: partial 23S ribosomal RNA
Rfam family: Bacterial large subunit ribosomal RNA
Source: RNAcentral